GGGUCAUUUCAAAGAGAGCUUGUGGGACCAAAACCAGGAGCUCUUAGUGCUGUGGCCUAAGAUUGAAGUUCUCCAUAGGAUAUAACAGG
RNAcentral lists this small nucleolar RNA (89 nucleotides) under Myotis lucifugus (little brown bat). RNAcentral describes it as "Small nucleolar RNA SNORA25 (ENSMLUG00000021506.2)". The record is from RNAcentral. Lineage: Eukaryota; Metazoa; Chordata; Mammalia; Chiroptera; Vespertilionidae.